Molecule: ribosomal RNA, 484 nt
Filed under: uncultured bacterium
Lineage: Bacteria
Description: partial 16S ribosomal RNA
Rfam family: Bacterial small subunit ribosomal RNA
Source: RNAcentral
AUUGAACGCUGGCGGCAGGCCUAACACAUGCAAGUCGAGCGGAUGAAGGGAGCUUGCUCCUGGAUUCAGCGGCGGACGGGUGAGUAAUGCCUAGGAAUCUGCUUGGUAGUGGGGGAUAACGUCCGGAAACGGGCGCUACUACUGCAUACGUCCUGAGGGAGAAAGUGGGGGAUCUUCGGACCUCACGCUAUCAGAUGAGCCUAGGUCGGAUUAGCUAGUUGGUGGGGUAAAGGCCUACCAAGGCGACGAUCCGUAACUGGUCUGAGAGGAUGAUCAGUCACACUGGAACUGAGACACGGACCAGACUCCUACGGGAGGCAGCAGUGGGGAAUAUUGGACAGUGGGCGAAAGCCUGGUCCAGCCAUGCCGCGUGUGUGAAGAAGGUCUUCGGAUUGUAAAGCACUUUAAGUUGGGAGGAAGGGCAGUAAGUUAAUACCUUGCUGUUUUGACGUUACCAACAGAAUAAGCACCGGCUAACUUCGUG